AAAGACAAGAAGACCCUAUCGAGCUUAAAAUAAAUUUCUUGAUGUAAUUUGAAAUAUUCCAUGAAAAGAUUUUAGUUGGGGCGACUAAGGAACAUAUAAAGCUUCCUUCAAAUAUAUAAACUUAUAUGUUUUGAUCCAAAAAAAUUGAUUAAUAGAAUUAGUUACCGUAGGGAUAACAGCAUAAUCUUUUUUAAGAGUUCUUAUCGAAAAAAAGGUUUGUGACCUCGAUGUUGGACUAGGAUAUCCGAAAGGUGCAGAAGCCUUUAACGGUUGGUCUGUUCGACCAUUAAUAUCCUACGUGAUCUGAGUU
Molecule: ribosomal RNA, 310 nt
Filed under: Pseudorientalia sp. Samos
Lineage: Eukaryota; Metazoa; Mollusca; Gastropoda; Littorinimorpha; Hydrobiidae
Description: partial 16S ribosomal RNA
Rfam family: Bacterial large subunit ribosomal RNA
Source: RNAcentral